RNAcentral lists this ribosomal RNA (433 nucleotides) under uncultured bacterium. Its description in RNAcentral is "partial 16S ribosomal RNA". It matches the Rfam family "Bacterial small subunit ribosomal RNA", at positions 29 to 507 of the family's 1533-position model. The record is from RNAcentral.
AACGAACGCUGGCGGCAUGCCUAACACAUGCAAGUCGAACGAGCCCUUCGGGUCUUGUGGCGCACGGGUGCGUAACGCGUGGGAACCUGCCCUUAGGUUCGGAAUAACUCCCCGAAAGGGGUGCUAAUACCGGAUCAUGUCUUCGGACCAAAGAUUUAUCGCCUUUGGAUGGGCCCGCGUUGGAUUAGCUUGUUGUUAGGGUAAAAGACUACCAAGGCGACGAUCCAUAGCUGGUUUGAGAGGAUGAUCAGCCACACUGGGACUGAGACACGGCCCAGACUCCUACGGGAGGCAGCAGUGGGGAAUAUUGGACAAUGGGCGAAAUGCUGAUCCAGCACUGCCGCGUGAGUGAUGAAGGCCUUAGGGUUGUAAAGCUCUUUUACCCGGGAUGAUAAUGACAGUACCGGGAGAAUAAGCUCCGGCUAACUCCGUG